UUUAAACGUUUAACAGUUUAAAAACAGCACAUGUCCCAGCCCUCUAUAGACCCACUGCUGUUCACACAUCAGAGCUCCUCUAACUGUGCAUGACAGGAUUUGUAUAGAGGAAGGGGCUUUGCAUACCUGUCCUGCCUCACUGCUCCACACACUUUAAGACCCCCAGUACUGAUCAGUGAUUGUCCAGUCCUUUCACAGACACUGACACAGGCAGCAUUAUGAUGAUGUCAAACUUUCUACUGCUGGUGAUGCUGGGACUCCUUGUACAGGGAUCAAUGGCAGAUAAAGUUCUGACUCAGGGUCCAGCAGCUCGGUCUGUUCAGCUGGGAGAGACUGUCUCCAUCAGCUGUACAGCCAGUGAGAGUGUGAGCAACUGGCUCAACUGGUACCUGCAGAAACCUGGUCAGGCUCCUAAACUUCUGAUUUAUUAUGCCACAACUCGCCAGACUGGGAUUCCUGAUCGUUUCAGUGGGAGUGGAUACGGUACUCAGUUCACACUGAAAAUCACUGGAGUCCAGGCUGAAGAUGCAGGAGAUUAUUACUGUCAGCAGGACGAUAGCACGCCGUUCACACAGUGUUAGAGAGCCGUACAAAAACCUCCCUCAGUCAGACUGCACAGAGACUGCACUGCUGCAGCUGGGACCUACUGCAGGUGCUGAGGGGGGAGGGCACUGGUCUGGGACAGCAGUACUGCCAACUGGGCUGUAGGGGGCAACAAUGAGCCACAGCUCUGAAUGCACACCUCUCUGUGCUGAAGAGGAGCUGCUCUGUCACACACACUGAGCGCAUAGCAGAGCUGCUGCUGAACCACACACACUACUGUACCACAACAUCACAGGCAUCACACAGUACAUCAGCUCACAAGCAGCAAUCAUCUCCAUAUUGCUCUGGAGUUCAGACACAUGCAGAGGAUGUGUACAUUCUCCCAGAGGUGGAAUGAGUUGGGUUUCAAAUGAAUUGCUUCCCGAAACGGUAUUAUGACUAUGUAUUCAAUACAUACAUGAUAAUUUAUUAUUAAUGGUGCGUCUAUUCUGGUGGAAUCCUGGUUUCAUCACAGCUGUGCUGUACUGAAUCACAUAAUCUGAUUUUAUUGUUUUCUGAGAUAUUAUUUUUUUGAUUUCCCUGAUCAUCAUUUUUGUGAUAAUCAGUGAAUAUGGUCAUGGUGCAAUUGUGUCACUCAAGCGAUUGAUUACAAAGCAUAUUUCCUUUUGUGUUUACCAAGCAUUAAAGUCGCAAAUAUAAUAA
This is a long non-coding RNA of Anguilla rostrata (American eel), 1245 nucleotides long. RefSeq lists it as uncharacterized. The record is from RefSeq and is a predicted model, not a curated record. The transcript has 2 exons. NCBI's taxonomy places the organism in Eukaryota, Metazoa, Chordata, Actinopteri, Anguilliformes, Anguillidae.